This is a non-coding RNA of Pelobates cultripes (western spadefoot toad), 925 nucleotides long. The record is from the annotation of a GenBank genome assembly. NCBI's taxonomy places the organism in Eukaryota, Metazoa, Chordata, Amphibia, Anura, Pelobatidae.
AGGAAAUGUAUAUAUGCAAGUUGUCAGUGAUGAUUUAUGUAUUAAUAUGAUAGUCACAUGAACUAAUGUAUUGAUUAUAAGAUCUACAGUAUUAGUAGUGCUCCAUUCUUUGGACUUAUUACAGUGAGGACAUAUUACGUGGGUGCUUUAGCCAGUAUAAAAAAAACAAAAAACCAGCAAUAAUAUUGAAGUUUUGCUGUACAUUUCCAUUAGACGAUUAAGCCACUCAACACUAUUUGAUAACUUUAUUAAAACAAGGGUUUCUGCUCAAGCUUUGUAUACAUUCCACCUAUGUCUGAUUUGUGAUGUGUCUAAUUAAUAUAAACUUUCUUAAUGACCACAACCUACACUUUGAAUUGAGUGUGUUUUACUUUGUAUAUGAACCAGUAGUGUGUGUUUGAUACAUUUUAAACUGCAAACAUGUUGGACUAAAUAAUUAGUAUGGCCCACAAAGAACUAUAACACAUAUAACUUAUUAUAGUGGUUGUGGUGCCAUGAAUCUGUGGCAUUGUCUAUCUUUUAAUUCUCAUCAUAAGCACACAUUCACAUAGCACCAUUCUCUGCCCAGCACUCCGAGCCAAGAACGGAGCAGAGCUGUGUGUGCUUAUAUGCUCACUCUCAAGUCUUCCUCAUACAAAUUCAGUCAGGAUGGGGGUGGAGCUUGAGGGCUACAUAUUUACAAGAAAAUAAAAUGAUUUUGAGAGAAUUUAUAGAGCAUGCUUCCAAGGAGCAUGGCUACCCAGCAUCGUAGCCAUUAUAAAAAGCUAUACUGCUUAUGGUGCUUAGUGGCAAGGUAAUAUGUUUGGGUUGUAAGAAGUGUGUGCUCUUUUUGCUUUUGGGUGGCUCAGCCCCAGAACAGACCUCAGUCUCUAUCAAUAUACAGAUUGGAAGCAUAAAGGAUAACGAUCUACUGGGCUAAUAAAAU